This 453-nucleotide ribosomal RNA is filed under the name Betylinae sp. M228. RNAcentral describes it as "eukaryotic LSU rRNA". Lineage: Eukaryota; Metazoa; Arthropoda; Insecta; Hymenoptera; Diapriidae. The record is from RNAcentral.
AAACCGUUCAGGGGUAAACCUGAGAAACCCAAAAGAUCGAAUGGGGAGAUUCAUCGUCAGCGGCGUUGGCUUCCGUGUGGUACGCGAUGCUCGGGGCCUCGGCUCCGCUGCACGUGUCCGCUGUGGUAUGUUCGACGUCGUCGGCGUGCACUUCUCCCCUAGUAGGACGUCGCGACCCGUUGGGUGUCGGCCUACGGCCCGGGUGGUCGACUGCCACGUCGUUUCGGCGCACGUGGCAGACCCCCGGAUGCCCGGCCGGCUGCUCGGCGGUACUCGCACGGUAUCGGGCCGCACGAACUGCGUCAGGCCCGCCGCAAGCGCGGCCAGUGUUACCCGGGAUGCGGACCUAGUGCCGUUUUCGGGCCUGGCCAGCUGUUGGUUGGCGGUGUCCUCGGACUGGCUCUGUUGAAUUGAUACCGGUCGGCGACGCUACUGCUUUGGGUACUUUCAGGA